UACGGAGGGUGCAAGCGUUGUUCGGAAUUAUUGGGCGUAAAGGGCGCGUAGGCGGUAAUGUAAGUCAGAUGUGAAAUACUCCGGCUCAACCAGAGAACAGCAUCUGAAACUGCAUAACUAGAGUACAGAAGAGGGAAACGGAAUUCCCGGUGUAGAGGUGAAAUUCGUAGAUAUCGGGAGGAACACCAGUGGCGAAGGCGGUUUCCUGGUCUGAUACUGACGCUGAGGCGCGAAAGCGUGGGGAGCAAACAGGAUUAGAUACCCUGGUAGUCCACGCUGUAAACGGUGAACACUAGGUGUGGGAGGUGUAAUACCUUCCGUGCCGUAGCUAACGCGUUAAGUGUUCCGCCUGGGAAGUACGGCCGCAAGGUUGAA
Molecule: ribosomal RNA, 375 nt
Filed under: uncultured archaeon
Lineage: Archaea
Description: bacterial SSU rRNA
Rfam family: Bacterial small subunit ribosomal RNA
Source: RNAcentral